GAUGAAGAACGUAGCGAAAUGCGAUACGUAAUGUGAAUUGCAGAAUUCAGUGAAUCAUCGAAUCUUUGAACGCAUAUUGCGCUCUCUGGUAUUCCGGAGAGCAUGCUUGUUUGAGUAUCAGUAAACACCUCAACUUCCAUAUCUUUUUUGAAAUGGGAGUUGGACUUGAGUGAUCCCAACGCUUUUCCUCACCGAAAAGUGGCGGGUUACUUGAAAUGCAGGUGCAGCUGGACUUUUCUCUGAGCUAUAAGCAUAUCUAUUUAGUCUGCCUAAAAAACAGAUUAUUACCUUUGCUGCAGCUAACAUAAAGGAGAUUAGUUCUUGUGCUGACUGAUGCAGGAUUCACAAAGACGGCUUCGACCGACUUUGUAAACUCGAUCUCAAAUCAAGUAAGACUACCCGCUGAACUUAAGCAUAUCAAUAAGCGGAGGA
Molecule: unclassified non-coding RNA, 432 nt
Filed under: soil metagenome
Description: partial contains 5.8S ribosomal RNA, internal transcribed spacer 2, and large subunit ribosomal RNA
Rfam family: 5.8S ribosomal RNA (bases 1-120)
Source: RNAcentral